Molecule: ribosomal RNA, 253 nt
Filed under: uncultured bacterium
Lineage: Bacteria
Description: partial 16S ribosomal RNA
Rfam family: Bacterial small subunit ribosomal RNA
Source: RNAcentral
UACAGAGGUCUCAAGCGUUGUUCGGAUUCAUUGGGCGUAAAGGGUGUGUAGGUGGCGCGCUAAGUCGGGUGUGAAAUUUCGGAGCUUAACUCCGAAACUGCAUUCGAUACUGGCGUGCUUGAGGACUGGAGAGGAGACUGGAAUUCAUGGUGUAGCAGUGAAAUGCGUAGAGAUCAUGAGGAAGACCAGUGGCGAAGGCGGGUCUCUGGGCAACAACUGACGCUGAGGAGCGAAAGCGUGGGGAGCGAACAGG